RNAcentral lists this ribosomal RNA (393 nucleotides) under uncultured bacterium. RNAcentral's name for it is "bacterial SSU rRNA". It matches the Rfam family "Bacterial small subunit ribosomal RNA", at positions 8 to 429 of the family's 1533-position model. The record is from RNAcentral.
AGAGUUUGAUCCUGGCUCAGAGCGAACGCUGGCGGCAGGCCUAACACAUGCAAGUCGAGCGCCGUAGCAAUACGGAGCGGCAGACGGGAGAGUAACACGUGGGAACGUGCCCUUUGGUUCGGAACAACACAGGGAAACUUGUGCUAAUACCGGAUAAGCCCUUACGGGGAAAGAUUUAUCGCCAAAGGAUCGGCCCGCGUCUGAUUAGCUUGUUGGUGAGGUAACGGCUCACCAAGGCUACGAUCAGUAGCUGGUCUGAGAGGAUGAUCAGCCUCACUGGGACUGAGACACGGCCCAGACUCCUACGGGAGGCAGCAGUGGGGAAUAUUGGACAAUGGGGGAAACCCUGAUCCAGCGACGCCGCGUGUGUGAAGAAGGCCUGCGGGUUGUAAA